RNAcentral lists this ribosomal RNA (460 nucleotides) under uncultured bacterium. RNAcentral describes it as "partial 16S ribosomal RNA". It matches the Rfam family "Bacterial small subunit ribosomal RNA", at positions 338 to 795 of the family's 1533-position model. The record is from RNAcentral.
CCUACGGGCGGCAGCAGUGAGGAAUAUUGGUCAAUGGGCGCGAGCCUGAACCAGCCAAGUAGCGUGCAGGAUGACUGCCCUACGGGUUGUAAACUUCUUUUAUAAAGGAAUAAAGUGCGGCACGUGUGCCUUUUUGUAUGUACUUUAUGAAUAAGGAUCGGCUAACUCCGUGCCAGCAGCCGCGGUAAUACGGAGGAUCCGGGCGUUAUCCGGAUUUAUUGGGUUUAAAGGGAGCGUAGAUGGGGUGUUAAGUCAGUUGUGAAAGGUUGUGGCUCAACCGUAAAAUUGCAAUGGAGACUGGCAGGCUUGAGUACAGGUGAGGUAGGCGGAAUUCGUGGUGUAGCGGUGAAAUGCUUAGAUAUCACGAAGAACUCCGAUUGCGAAGGCAGCUUACGAAACUGCCACUGACAUUGAUGCUCGAAAGUGUGGGUAUCAAACAGGAUUAGAUACCCGAGUAGUC